Non-coding RNA from Trichuris muris, 69 nucleotides. NCBI's taxonomy places the organism in Eukaryota, Metazoa, Nematoda, Enoplea, Trichinellida, Trichuridae. The record is from Rfam.
GACCCGUUGGCGCAAUGGUAGUGCGUCUGACUCCAGAUCAGGUUGGGCAUUCAAAUCACUCACGGGUCA